CGGAACGCAGCCAUCGUUCAUAAACUUCCUAACACGUUCGUCUCUUUGAUAAAACGAAACGAUCUUUUGACGCCAUUUUUGCCAUUUCGGUACGAGAAUGUAGCUGUGAAUGUUUGGAAAAGUCCACUGCCAUUAGUAAGGCGAAAGCUGGUAAUAGGAAACACACACAAAAACUAUUUGAAGAAGGUUAGAACGUAUAAGGCGAGAAUCAGAUCUACUUAAAUAAUCUUCCAGAACGAGUUCGUGCGCAAGUACAACAGCCGUGUGGCAACAGAACCUUUCUUAAAUGGCAGUACUAGCUCUUAUGUGGAGGAAAUGUACAAUGCAUGGCUGCAAGAUCCAACCAGCGUGCAUGUAUCAUGGGAUUCUUUUUUUCGAAAUAGCACUACAGGAGCUGCACCAGGACUUGCAUAUCAGGCAUUGCCAUCUCUUGCUCUAAGUUACAAUCAGCCCUCUUGGAGGGUUGUUACCUCUCGGUGGUGGAACUCAAAUCGGCCAGGUACCUAUCAACAAAAAAAUUAUUGACGAUCAUCUAGCGGCGCAAGCGAUUGUUUGGUCAUACCAGCUUCCAGAAGCAGUUAAUGCUGUCGUGUAUGUGUAUCACUUUAAUAAAACCCGGAGCUGAUAUAAAUGAACGCAAGGAAGAUUUGACGUUGCUACAUCAAACAAUAUGAAUUUAAUGGGAUGCUUCGAAUAUAAAGCAAGAAGAGGCAGCAAUAGUUCUUCUAUAAUAUGGAACGGAUUCUUGGGAUCGUUCUACAUAGUUGGGAGGUAUGAUAAGGAAACACACAAAUAUGUACAGUCAUUUCAUUCUAUUUAUUAACAGUACUUAUAAGGGGUACUACAGCGAAAUAUUGUUCGUCCGCACAUAGCAUUAGCAUAAAUUUAAGGACAAUUUUGUUCAGAGGCCAGAUUUUUAAACAAGAUAACUGUCUGACUUUAUAUGUGUUUAAAGUUAUGGAACUACACGGAGUAUUGUAGAGUUCACUUACAAUUUCAAAUUUACGACCUACUGCUACAUAUUCACCGUUGCUUGCUGUUGCAAUAUUUUCCAAACACACUAUGUCUUUAUCUAUCAAGCAACAAUUAUCAGGAGAUUUGAUUGUAAGCGUAUAAAUGGAGAAAAUGACUUUAGAAAAUUGCGGACUGCAACAUCCUGAUAUUAAUGGUCCAUUAUAAUGGCGGUUUUUUACGCCAAUGUGUGGCUUUUUCUCAUUUCGCUGUGGUAUUUCGCACGAGCUCAUUUCUCCGAAGCGAUUACUUAUCUGUUCCAAUGGCCUUUCCGAUUUCCGUAACUUACGUUUAAGUUCCUUCAUAAAAUUUUCAAAGGGAAAAGCGCUAAAAUUGUCUAGUGGCCCAAACUGUUCAACAUCAUCAGUUAAGUGUAAAAGUCCGUGAACGUUGUGCGAUACGUAUUCAGGACCAUAAAUUAUUAUGAAACAUUUAACAAAAUGUCUCACUAAUUUUCCGGCAUAUUCAAUUUUUUCGGUUGUGGUUUUCUCGCUUAAGAGACGAAUGGCAACAUGCAAACAGAGAAAGUUUGAAAAAAGAACCGAGUUUAAUAUUUUCUGCAGUACCACGAUACCAGUGUAUAACCAGAGAGAAGCCUGAGAGUGGCCAGGCCCAUAAAAGUUUUUACGAUCGCUAUUCCGGCCCGUAAGCU
This is a long non-coding RNA of Pseudomyrmex gracilis, 1663 nucleotides long. RefSeq lists it as uncharacterized. The record is from RefSeq and is a predicted model, not a curated record. Lineage: Eukaryota; Metazoa; Arthropoda; Insecta; Hymenoptera; Formicidae. The transcript is spliced from 4 exons.